Molecule: long non-coding RNA, 396 nt
Filed under: Androctonus crassicauda
Lineage: Eukaryota; Metazoa; Arthropoda; Arachnida; Scorpiones; Buthidae
Source: RNAcentral
GUGGAACCGGUUUACAUCUAUAAUCUGUUUCAAUUUUUUAAAAAAGGUUUUUCAUUAAUCUGUAGCUGUACCCAUGUUUUCUCCCAAGUUUAUAGAUCCUCUGCAACUCUGCUGUGCGGAAGGUUUCAUUGCUACAGCGUGUGAGGCAUUGACGGAAAUAAGAUUGAAAGGCAGAUUUCUUAUAUGUCCAUGGGUCGAAAGACCAUCUAGGGAUGAUUGUUGGGGUGGUUGUAGGUUUUACGUAAACUGUGGUGCUAAAGGCACCUUCCAAAAGAUAAAUUUUGAUAUCCAGGAAAUUGAUUUCAGUGGGACUGGCUUGUGCUAGUUUUAGAUUGAGCCCGUAUUCUUUCUUAGAGAGUUGCCCUAUUAAAUUGCCUAUCUGAUGGUUGCUCCACG